UACGGAGGGGGCUAGCGUUGUUCGGAAUUACUGGGCGUAAAGCGCACGUAGGCGGCUUUGUAAGUUAGAGGUGAAAGCCCAGGGCUCAACCCUGGAAUUGCCUUUAAGACUGCAUCGCUUGAACAUCGGAGAGGUAAGUGGAAUUCCGAGUGUAGAGGUGAAAUUCGUAGAUAUUCGGAAGAACACCAGUGGCGAAGGCGACUUACUGGACACAUAUUGACGCUGAGGCGCGAAAGCCAGGGGAGCAAACGGG
Molecule: ribosomal RNA, 253 nt
Filed under: uncultured bacterium
Lineage: Bacteria
Description: partial 16S ribosomal RNA
Rfam family: Bacterial small subunit ribosomal RNA
Source: RNAcentral